RNAcentral lists this long non-coding RNA (1104 nucleotides) under Equus caballus (horse). RNAcentral describes it as "lncRNA (ENSECAG00000047066.1)". Lineage: Eukaryota; Metazoa; Chordata; Mammalia; Perissodactyla; Equidae. The record is from RNAcentral.
UGGGUAGUGAGCAUCAUUUGCAGAAAGAUUUGCAAAAACCUUACCAGCCCAUAGAAAUGAUGCCCCGCUAGGCUUUCAAGUGGCCCUGCCCUCCUGGCCCAGAGCAGCUAAGUGGCUGCCCAGACUUCCUCAGCCUCGUUGCCAACCACGGCCCAGAGAACAGGCGGUGACAGGACCGGGAUGGGGCUGCUGUGGGCCAGGAGCCCAGAACAGCGGCUCUUGACUCAAGGAGAGAGAAGUGGCUGUAAAGAGUGACGUUUCUCAGGGUUUGCUGACCCCUGGGCUCCAGGCUAAUCUUGCCCUUUCUCCUCAGUGGGGUAGUGUCAGCAAUCAUACAUUUACAUGAGGGGCCUUUUCUCCACAGAUCACACCACCCCCUUCCUGGUUGCUAAAAGGCCAUUUAAUAUGCAGAAGCUGUGCUAGAACAGCGUUAGGUUGUGACAUGAGGAAAUGGAAAAAAAAAAAAUCUGAGCCCGAACUCUGUCCUUCAGUUGUCCUCCUCUGAGAGUACCGCCGAUGGCCAAGGACAGAACGGGUGUGUUGUGCCUCUUGGGCUCAGCAAACAGGAGGAACACGGAGGCCGCUGAGGCUGUUUGCAAAAGACUGUCAAGGCUCACACAAGUUCUCAUGUUCAAGUUGGUCCGAGGGCUGGAGGGCCUUGAGUUUUCCCUCCCUCCAGCUGGCCGACUCUGGGAUGCUUCCAGACAGCCUCUCGGAGGUGAGAGAGGAAGGAACAUUAACUCUGCAACUUAGCCCCUCGGAAAAGUGCGUCCACUCACUGGUGACUACCUCGCUUAGCCAUUAAAUGUCAUGGCAGCCCAUGCGCACAGGAAAGAGAAUCUACAUCUGGCAGUAAAAAAAGGUGAUGAAAUGAAAGAAGUUGUGAAGUGACAUUUUUUUCCAGCAGGUUUGUCAUAUCUCCUGCAUGGAGGAAAAUUGCUUUCUGUAAAUCUUGGUCCAACAGAACAAAACCCCUAUUUCUUUCCAGUUGGGGAGACAGCCAUUCUCAUCGGCAUAAUGAAGGUAUUGUAAGCUGUGACUUUUACAAAGUCUGAGGGAAAGCAAUCUGCAAUCUUGGCAGAUAUGAUCUUUCCAGGAUGCACC